GCCCCGGUGGCACAAUCGGUUAGCGCGCCGUACUUAUAAUGCGGAGGUUGUGAGUUCGAGCAUCACCCGGGGCA
RNAcentral lists this transfer RNA (74 nucleotides) under Haliotis rufescens (red abalone). Its description in RNAcentral is "tRNA-Ile". It matches the Rfam family "tRNA". From Rfam's summary of the family: Transfer RNA (tRNA) molecules are approximately 80 nucleotides in length. Their secondary structure includes four short double-helical elements and three loops (D, anti-codon, and T loops). Further hydrogen bonds mediate the characteristic L-shaped molecular structure. tRNAs have two regions of fundamental functional importance: the anti-codon, which is responsible for specific mRNA codon recognition, and the 3' end, to which the tRNAs corresponding amino acid is attached (by aminoacyl-tRNA synthetases). tRNAs cope with the degeneracy of the genetic code in two manners: having more than one tRNA (with a specific anti-codon) for a particular amino acid; and 'wobble' base-pairing, i.e. permitting non-standard base-pairing at the 3rd anti-codon position. Lineage: Eukaryota; Metazoa; Mollusca; Gastropoda; Lepetellida; Haliotidae. The record is from RNAcentral.